RNAcentral lists this ribosomal RNA (763 nucleotides) under Escherichia coli. RNAcentral describes it as "bacterial SSU rRNA". It matches the Rfam family "Bacterial small subunit ribosomal RNA", at positions 763 to 1526 of the family's 1533-position model. Lineage: Bacteria; Pseudomonadati; Pseudomonadota; Gammaproteobacteria; Enterobacterales; Enterobacteriaceae. The record is from RNAcentral.
GGGGAGCAAACAGGAUUAGAUACCCUGGUAGUCCACGCCGUAAACGAUGUCGACUUGGAGGUUGUGCCCUUGAGGCGUGGCUUCCGGAGCUAACGCGUUAAGUCGACCGCCUGGGGAGUACGGCCGCAAGGUUAAAACUCAAAUGAAUUGACGGGGGCCCGCACAAGCGGUGGAGCAUGUGGUUUAAUUCGAUGCAACGCGAAGAACCUUACCUGGUCUUGACAUCCACGGAAGUUUUCAGAGAUGAGAAUGUGCCUUCGGGAACCGUGAGACAGGUGCUGCAUGGCUGUCGUCAGCUCGUGUUGUGAAAUGUUGGGUUAAGUCCCGCAACGAGCGCAACCCUUAUCCUUUGUUGCCAGCGGUCCGGCCGGGAACUCAAAGGAGACUGCCAGUGAUAAACUGGAGGAAGGUGGGGAUGACGUCAAGUCAUCAUGGCCCUUACGACCAGGGCUACACACGUGCUACAAUGGCGCAUACAAAGAGAAGCGACCUCGCGAGAGCAAGCGGACCUCAUAAAGUGCGUCGUAGUCCGGAUUGGAGUCUGCAACUCGACUCCAUGAAGUCGGAAUCGCUAGUAAUCGUGGAUCAGAAUGCCACGGUGAAUACGUUCCCGGGCCUUGUACACACCGCCCGUCACACCAUGGGAGUGGGUUGCAAAAGAAGUAGGUAGCUUAACCUUCGGGAGGGCGCUUACCACUUUGUGAUUCAUGACUGGGGUGAAGUCGUAACAAGGUAACCGUAGGGGAACCUGCGGUUGGAUCAC